RNAcentral lists this ribosomal RNA (437 nucleotides) under Vibrio sp. 4WN3 4. RNAcentral's name for it is "bacterial SSU rRNA". It matches the Rfam family "Bacterial small subunit ribosomal RNA", at positions 380 to 875 of the family's 1533-position model. The record is from RNAcentral. Lineage: Bacteria; Pseudomonadati; Pseudomonadota; Gammaproteobacteria; Vibrionales; Vibrionaceae.
AGCCUGAUGCAGCCAUGCCGCGUGUGUGAAGAAGGCCUUCGGGUUGUAAAGCACUUUCAGAGUGAGGAAGGGGGGUGUUAAUAGCGAUCUUUGACGUUAGCGGCAGAAGAAGCACCGGCUAACUCCGUGCCAGCAGCCGCGGUAAUACGGAGGGUGCGAGCGUUAAUCGGAAUUCCUCGGAACUGCAUUUGAAACUGGCUGACUAGAGUACUGUAGAGGGGGGUAGAAUUUCAGGUGUAGCGGUGAAAUGCGUAGAGAUCUGAAGGAAUACCAGUGGCGAAGGCGGCCCCCUGGACAGAUACUGACACUCAGAUGCGAAAGCGUGGGGAGCAAACAGGAUUAGAUACCCUGGUAGUCCACGCCGUAAACGAUGUCUACUUGGAGGUUGUGGCCUUGAGCCGUGGCUUUCGGAGCUAACGCGUUAAGUAGACCGCCUG